CAGUUUUACAACUCUUUUAGAAUGUGUCUAGUAGGUUUUCUGCUCUUUACCAGAAACCCUCU
RNAcentral lists this small nuclear RNA (62 nucleotides) under Aotus nancymaae (Ma's night monkey). RNAcentral describes it as "U7 small nuclear RNA (ENSANAG00000008003.1)". It matches the Rfam family "U7 small nuclear RNA". Rfam says of the family: Animal histone pre-mRNAs are spliced by a different mechanism than nuclear pre-mRNAs and self-splicing introns. This processing involves the U7 snRNP, which contains only one RNA species: U7. RNAcentral also lists the same sequence under 2 other names. The record is from Rfam by way of RNAcentral. Lineage: Eukaryota; Metazoa; Chordata; Mammalia; Primates; Aotidae.